Molecule: ribosomal RNA, 659 nt
Filed under: uncultured archaeon
Lineage: Archaea
Description: bacterial SSU rRNA
Rfam family: Archaeal small subunit ribosomal RNA
Source: RNAcentral
AAGGUCCCUCACCCAAAAGGAACUAGUGGCAUGCUUGCUGGUUUCGCUCGAGGAUAGGGCCGCGUCCGAUCAGGUCGCUGGUGAGGUAACGGCUCACCAAGCCUAUAACCGGUACGGGCCGUGAGAGCGGGAGCCCGGAGAUGGGCACUGAGAUAAGGGCCCAGGCCCUACGGGGCGCAGCAGGCGCGAAAACUUCGCAAUGCGCGAAAGCGUGACGAGGUCACCCCGAGUGCCGUCCGCUGAGGAUGGCUUUUGCCCGGUCUAACCAGCCAGGUGAAUAAGGGGAGGGCAAGUCUGGUGUCAGCCGCCGCGGUAAUACCAGCUCCCCGAGUGGUUGGGACGAUUAUUGGGUCUGAAGCGUCCGUAGCCGGUCGGAAAAGUUCCCCGUUAAAUCUGGCGAUCCAAUCGUUGGGCUGCGGGGAAUACUCUUCGACUUGGGGGCGAGGGAGGUCGGCGGUAGUCCCGGGGUAGGGGCGAAAUCCUAUAAUCCCGGGAGGACCACCAGUGGCGAAGGCGGCCGACUAAAACGCGCCCGACGGUGAGGGACGAAAGCUGGGGGAGCGAACGGGAUUAGAUACCCCGGUAGUCCCAGCUGUAAACGAUGCAGGCUAGGUGUUGGGACGGCUACGAGCUGUUCCAGUGCCCCAGGGAAGCCAUUA